Molecule: ribosomal RNA, 496 nt
Filed under: uncultured bacterium
Lineage: Bacteria
Description: partial 16S ribosomal RNA
Rfam family: Bacterial small subunit ribosomal RNA
Source: RNAcentral
ACGAACGCUGGCGGCAUGCCUAAUACAUGCAAGUCGAGCGAACAGAUGAAGUGCUUGCACUUCUGACGUUAGCGGCGAACGGGUGAGUAACGCGUAAGGAAUCUACCUAUAAGCGGGGGAUAACAUUCGGAAACGGGUGCUAAUACCGCAUAAUAUCUUCUUCCGCAUGGAAGAAGAUUGAAAGACGGCUCUGCUGUCACUUAUAGAUGACCUUGCGGUGCAUUAGUUAGUUGGUGGGGUAACGGCCUACCAAGACGAUGAUGCAUAGCCGACCUGAGAGGGUGAUCGGCCACAUUGGGACUGAGACACGGCCCAAACUCCUACGGGAGGCAGCAGUAGGGAAUCUUCCGCAAUGGGCGAAAGCCUGACGGAGCAAUGCCGCGUGAGUGAAGAAGGCCUUCGGGUCGUAAAACUCUGUUAUAAGAGAAGAACAAAUUGUAGAGUAACUGCUACAGUCUUGACGGUAUCUUAUCAGAAAGCCACGGCUAACUACGUG